GAUGAACGCUGGCGGUGUGCCUAAUACAUGCAAGUCGAGCGAACAGACGAGGAGCUUACUCCUCUGACGUUAGCGGCGGACGGGUGAGUAACACGUGGAUAACCUACCUAUAAGACUGGGAUAACUUCGGGAAACCGGAGCUAAUACCGGAUAACAUGUUGAACCGCAUGGUUCAACAGUGAAAGACGGUCUUGCUGUCACUUAUAGAUGGAUCCGCGUCGCAUUAGCUAGUUGGUAAGGUAACGGCUUACCAAGGCAACGAUGCGUAGCCGACCUGAGAGGGUGAUCGGCCACACUGGAACUGAGACAAGGUCCAGACUCCUACGGGAGGCAGCAGUAGGGAAUCUUCCGCAAUGGGCGAAAGCCUGACGGAGCAACGCCGCGUGAGUGAAGAAGGUCUUCGGAUCGUAAAACUCUGUUAUUAGGGAAGAACAAAUGUGUAAGUAACUAUGCACGUCUUGACGGUACCUAAUCAGAAAGCCACGGCUAACUACGUG
Molecule: ribosomal RNA, 497 nt
Filed under: uncultured bacterium
Lineage: Bacteria
Description: partial 16S ribosomal RNA
Rfam family: Bacterial small subunit ribosomal RNA
Source: RNAcentral